Molecule: microRNA precursor, 76 nt
Filed under: Cavia porcellus (domestic guinea pig)
Lineage: Eukaryota; Metazoa; Chordata; Mammalia; Rodentia; Caviidae
Description: microRNA cpo-mir-12075 precursor
Source: miRBase by way of RNAcentral
UUUAUUACACAACUCCAGGAUUCGUCGAUCAUGUGUAAUUAAGUUUGAUCGGCGUCUCCUGAAGUGAAGUAAUACA